RNAcentral lists this non-coding RNA (21 nucleotides) under Caenorhabditis elegans. Lineage: Eukaryota; Metazoa; Nematoda; Chromadorea; Rhabditida; Rhabditidae. The record is from RNAcentral.
UUUAAUCGGAGUGGCGUUUUG